Molecule: non-coding RNA, 1014 nt
Organism: Ictidomys tridecemlineatus (thirteen-lined ground squirrel)
Lineage: Eukaryota; Metazoa; Chordata; Mammalia; Rodentia; Sciuridae
Source: RefSeq, a predicted model, not a curated record
GCCUUAAAGAAGAAUGAAAUUGUGGCAUCUGUGGGUAAAUGGAUAGAACUGGAGAAUAUGCCAGGUUCUGAAAAAUACCAAGAUGAAUAAGAUGUACCUGGUUCUGUCCUCAAGGAGCUUAUGGCCAGUCUCUGCAAUUUUCAGACAGGAACACCAAAGGUAUCUCAAAGAAGUAUGUUAUAAGUGUUAAAGGAAGUGCCAGAUAAAGCAACUAAGGGUCAAGAAUGUGAAUAAGGAUAACUCUCAAUAAAGUCAAGAUGUAAAUGGAGCAGGCUUUUUAUAGGGGACUUAGAGGGUUAGCAGGGUGUCAGGAGGUACACAUGCUAGAAGCAAGAAUUCUAGGGAGAAGAAGAGGCUUCAACAGUUCUGCUUCUCUAGAAAACUGGGUUUUAAGUCAUAGCACUAUUGGCAUUUUGAGUCAGAUCACUUUUUGUUAUAGGCAGAGUCUAAUGUGUUGUUGAUUUGUAGCAAAAUUGUGACCUCCAACCACUAGAUGUCAGUGGCACAUCUGCCCCCAAUAAUGACAACCAAGAAUGUGUCCAGGAACUUCCAAGAGUUCCCUAGGCAAAAUUACCUUGGAUGAGAACUAUUGAUACAGAUACAUGCUAUUGGUGUAGGAGCAGGCUCCUGAUAAAAGAGUAAAUUCAGGAUCCUUCCUGUCUGCUGUGCUCACUUGUCCUUAGUCAUAUUAUGAUGUAGCAGGAAGGCCCUCACCAGAAGCCAGUGUCAUGCUCUCGGGCCUCCCACUCACAGGACUGUGAGCCAAGUAGACUUGUAUUGUUUACUAAUUACCCAAAUGUGUGUCACCAUGAUAUAGUGACAGAAAAUGGACUAAGAUACUUUAGUUUGAGAUUCAUCCUUGUUAUUGAGUGUGUCAAUAAUGGACUAUUCUGCUUCAUGGAUAUACCAGUUUGUUUACUCCUUUGUCUGCUGAUUGACAUUCAUUCACCUAUUGAUAAAUUCUGUUCAUUUUCUUGCUAUUAUAAGUAAAACUUAUGAACUAUUGUCUACAAA